Molecule: small nuclear RNA, 207 nt
Filed under: Tropilaelaps mercedesae
Lineage: Eukaryota; Metazoa; Arthropoda; Arachnida; Mesostigmata; Laelapidae
Description: U2 spliceosomal RNA
Rfam family: U2 spliceosomal RNA
About the family: U2 is a small nuclear RNA (snRNA) component of the spliceosome (involved in pre-mRNA splicing).
Source: Rfam by way of RNAcentral
AUCAGUUCUUGGCCUUUUGCCUAAGACCGCGGUGUAGUCUUUAUUCCUAUCAGCCUAAUAUCCGGUACGGGGGACGUUGUUCCCCAAGAUAUUGAACUACUACAUUUUGGAACAGUGUGUCCCGGGUGUCCGGAUCUUGCUCUUCCACCUCGCUCCUGUACCGGGCUGGUACGAUAUAGCAUUACCUCCACGAUAGGCCCACUAAAA